UACGUAGGGUGCAAGCGUUAAUCGGAAUUACUGGGCGUAAAGCGUGCGCAGGCGGUGAUGUAAGACAGGUGUGAAAUCCCCGGGCUUAACCUGGGAACUGCAUUUGUGACUGCAUCGCUGGAGUGCGGCAGAGGGGGAUGGAAUUCCGCGUGUAGCAGUGAAAUGCGUAGAUAUGCGGAGGAACACCGAUGGCGAAGGCAGUCCCCUGGGCCUGCACUGACGCUCAUGCACGAAAGCGUGGGGAGCAA
Molecule: ribosomal RNA, 248 nt
Filed under: uncultured bacterium
Lineage: Bacteria
Description: partial 16S ribosomal RNA
Rfam family: Bacterial small subunit ribosomal RNA
Source: RNAcentral